GAUGAACGCUGGCGGCGUGCCUAAUACAUGCAAGUCGAGCGAACGGACGAGAAGCUUGCUUCUCUGAUGUUAGCGGCGGACGGGUGAGUAACACGUGGAUAACCGACCUAUAAGACUGGGAUAACUUCGGGAAACCGGAGCUAAUACCGGAUAAUAUUUUGAACCGCAUGGUUCAAAAGUGAAAGACGGUCUUGCUGUCACUUAUAGAUGGAUCCGCGCUGCAUUAGCUAGUUGGUAAGGGAACGGCUUACCAAGGCAACGAUGCAUAGCCGACCUGAGAGGGUGAAUCGCCACAUGGGAAGUGAGAAACGUUCCAGACUCCUACGGGAGGCAGCAGUAGGGAAUCUUCCGCAAUGGGCGAAAGCCUAACCGAGCAACACCGCGUGAGUGAUGAAGGUCUUCGGAUCGUAAAACUCUGUUAUUAGGGAAGAACAUAUGUGUAAGUAACUGUGCACAUCUUGACGGUACCUAAACAGAAAGCCACGGCUAACUACGUG
RNAcentral lists this ribosomal RNA (497 nucleotides) under uncultured bacterium. RNAcentral's name for it is "partial 16S ribosomal RNA". It matches the Rfam family "Bacterial small subunit ribosomal RNA", at positions 28 to 507 of the family's 1533-position model. The record is from RNAcentral.